This 556-nucleotide ribosomal RNA is filed under the name uncultured bacterium. Its description in RNAcentral is "bacterial SSU rRNA". It matches the Rfam family "Bacterial small subunit ribosomal RNA", at positions 48 to 610 of the family's 1533-position model. The record is from RNAcentral.
UUAACACAUGACCGUCGAGCGAGAUUUUAAGAACUAGCUUGCUAGUUCUUAAAUGACAGCGGCGGACGGGUGAGUAACGCGUGGGCAAUCUGCCCUGUGGAAAGGGAUAGCCUCGGGAAACCGGGAUUAAUACCUUAUAAUAUUAGCACUUCCCAUGAAGAGCUAAUCAAAGAUUUAUCGCCACAGGAUGAGCCCGCGUCCCAUUAGCUAGUUGGUGAGAUAACAGCUCACCAAGGCGACGAUGGGUAGCCGACCUGAGAGGGUGAUCGGCCACACUGGGACUGAGACACGGCCCAGACUUCUACGGGAGGCAGCAGUGGGGAAUAUUGCGCAAUGGGGGAAACCCUGACGCAGCAACGCCGCGUGAGUGAUGAAGGUUUUCGGAUCGUAAAACUCUGUUUUUGGGGAAGAAUAAUGACGGUACCCAAGGAGGAAGCCCCGGCUAACUACGUGCCAGCAGCCGCGGUAAUACGUAGGGGGCAAGCGUUGUCCGGAAUCAUUGGGCGUAAAGGGCGUGUAGGCGGUAUGAUAAGUCAGGUGUGAAAGUUUGGGGCUC